ACGGGUGAGUAACACGUGGGUGAUCUGCCCUGCACUUUGGGAUAAGCCUGGGAAACUGGGUCUAAUACCGAAUAUUCCUUGCUGGUCGCAUGGCCUGGUGGGGGAAAGCUUUUGCGGUGUGGGAUGGGCCCGCGGCCUAUCAGCUUGUUGGUGGGGUGAUGGCCUACCAAGGCGACGACGGGUAGCCGGCCUGAGAGGGUGUCCGGCCACACUGGGACUGAGAUACGGCCCAGACUCCUACGGGAGGCAGCAGUGGGGAAUAUCGCACAAUGGGCGCAAGCCUGAUGCAGCGACGCCGCGUGAGGGAUGACGGCCUUCGGGUUGUAAACCUCUUUCAGUACAGACGAAGCGUAAGUGACGGUAUGUACAGAAGAAGCACCGGCCAACUACGUGCCAGCAGCCGCGGUAAUACGUAGGGUGCGAGCGUUGCCCGGAAUUACUGGGCGUAAAGAGCUCGUAGGUGGUUUGUCGCGUUGUUCGUGAAAACCGGGGGCUUAACCCUCGGCGUGCGGGCGAUACGGGCAGACUUGAGUACUGCAGGGGAGACUGGAAUUCCUGGUGUAGCGGUGGAAUGCGCAGA
Molecule: ribosomal RNA, 580 nt
Filed under: uncultured Mycobacterium sp.
Lineage: Bacteria; Bacillati; Actinomycetota; Actinomycetes; Mycobacteriales; Mycobacteriaceae
Description: bacterial SSU rRNA
Rfam family: Bacterial small subunit ribosomal RNA
Source: RNAcentral